Long non-coding RNA from Myotis brandtii (Brandt's bat), 421 nucleotides. RefSeq lists it as uncharacterized. The transcript has 3 exons. Lineage: Eukaryota; Metazoa; Chordata; Mammalia; Chiroptera; Vespertilionidae. The record is from RefSeq and is a predicted model, not a curated record.
GGCCGGACCUGCCCUUGGUCAGGAACCUCCGCCUACUCCAGCUUGGCUUCCCCCAGGUCAGCUGCUUCAGUGCUGUGCCCCUGAGAGGCCCCCCUCACGGGCCCGCUGCCCGCACUGGCAGGAAGUGUGCCUGCACUGGCAGGAGUGUGCCCGCUGCUCGCACUGGCAGGAAGUGUGCCCGCUGCCCGCACUGGCAGGAGUGUGUCCGCUGCCCACACUGGCAGGAGUGUGCCUGCUGUCCGCACUGGCAGGAGUUGUGCCCGCUGCCCGCACUGGCAGGAGUGUGCCCUCUGCCCGCACUGGCAGGAAGUGUGCCCACUGCCCGCACUUGCAGGAGUGUGCCCGCUGCCCGCACUGGCAGGAAGUGUGCCCGCUGCCCGCACUGGCAGGAGUUGUGCCUGCUGUCCGCACUGGCAGGAGU